Molecule: ribosomal RNA, 429 nt
Filed under: Gemmatimonadota bacterium
Lineage: Bacteria; Pseudomonadati; Gemmatimonadota
Description: Gemmatimonadetes bacterium partial 16S ribosomal RNA
Rfam family: Bacterial small subunit ribosomal RNA
Source: RNAcentral
UAGGGAAUCUUCGGCAAUGGACGAAAGUCUGACCGAGCAACGCCGCGUGAGUGAAGAAGGUUUUCGGAUCGUAAAACUCUGUUGUUAGAGAAGAACAAGGACGUUAGUAACUGAACGUCCCCUGACGGUAUCUAACCAGAAAGCCACGGCUAACUACGUGCCAGCAGCCGCGGUAAUACGUAGGUGGCAAGCGUUGUCCGGAUUUAUUGGGCGUAAAGCGAGCGCAGGCGGUUUCUUAAGUCUGAUGUGAAAGCCCCCGGCUCAACCGGGGAGGGUCAUUGGAAACUGGGAGACUUGAGUGCAGAAGAGGAGAGUGGAAUUCCGUGUGUAGCGGUGAAAUGCGUAGAUAUAUGGAGGGACACCAGUGGCGAAGGCGGCUCUCUGGUCUGAAACUGACGCUGUGGCACGAAAGCGUGGGGGGCAAACAGG